GGGCACAUGGUGUAGUUGGUUAUCACGCUCGCUUAGCAUCGCUUCGAUUUCUGAUCACGUGACUGCGAGAGGUGUUGGGUUCAAUUCCCAAUGUGUCCA
Roridomyces roridus is the source of this 99-nucleotide non-coding RNA. The record is from the annotation of a GenBank genome assembly. NCBI's taxonomy places the organism in Eukaryota, Fungi, Basidiomycota, Agaricomycetes, Agaricales, Mycenaceae.